AAAUCAGAUUCAUAGAAUCCAUUUGCAAAAUGAGAAGACACCAACUUUCCUCUUAUGUACAGAUCUAAGAUCUGCUGUGUACAUACAUGGCAAAUGUACUAAGAUGCUGUAAGAAUCAUCUACCCUCACUGGCAUCUGCUCUCCAAGUUUUCAGAAAGGGGCAUUCCCAGCUGUACCUGAAGAUGCUGUGGAUUGAAUCCGGGAUCUUCUGCAUACAAAGCUGAUGCACUGACAGUGAGCUACAGACCUUUCCCAUAUAUACAUGAUAAGGAAUUAUUGGAACUGGAUUACAGUCACAUGUGGAGAACUGAAAUGGGGUAGACGACUGUGGAUCAGGUUAAGCUGUUGUUACCCUUGAUUCCAAUCGAAUAUACUUAAGCAUGCUUUGUAUCAGCUGCUCAGCCAAAGUAGUUUUCCAGGAAAAUAAGAACUAUAAAGAGCUACACAUGUCUGAUAACAGUUCAUAGAGUGGGCACAGCAGUUAAAACAAAUCUUUAAAAGCAAAGCAGAUGGUAAUGCCCUUACCACAUGUACCAUAAAUAUAUUAAUAAGUGAUUAUAAAUUAGACCCGUUCUUGACCAUCUAUUGCUUUGUUGCAGAGGAGAACUGGGCCAGAUAAUACACAGAAAGAUGGAAAUAUUUGACCAAAGAUAACCUUCUUCUGAAACACACACAUGCACCAUUGAGAAGACAUUAAAAUAUAACCACAAAGGAUAAGGCUAUUUUGUGAUAUGACAUAGUCAGAACAUGCCAAGAACCUUUCCAAAUAACAUCAUCCCUCCGUUCUUUGAGUGUAGCUGAAUACAUUCUGAAAACAGCUUGUUUUCUCACCGACACUGAUGAGCACUUCCUCGCAUGAGAAAUACCAGCUGAUUGCUAUAGGGCUAUUCUUCAAGAUUAAUUGCUCUAAAUGAGGAUUAACAUAGCGAGGGGGAGAGUUACAGAAAGCCACAUAGGAAGAGAUAGUGAGUGAGACUUCUAACACUUAUCAGAAGGGUGGAGAGUACUCCAAAUGACAGGUUCGUGCAUCAGGAAGCUAAAGGAAGUCAAUGGCGGAAUAAUAAAAGCAGUCAGAGACUGCUUCCAUUAUCAGGGAAAUGGCUGGAUCUAGCCUUGUCUGCAAUGACUGAGUCUCUUUUUCUUCCCCUCCCUGCGUGUGGAAAUGGCACAUGUAGGAGACAAUCUGCAUAAUGUGUAGAAGAAAGAAAAAUGGCCUAUAUUAUAGCUCAUCAUGUGUUGAUCUAUACAUGCCCUUACUCUCCGCAGAUGAUACCAUGACUUUCUGCUCUGAUGAGUGAUUUCUUUUCAACUGAUAAAGCACUGUGUAAAUUUUCAGAGCAGGCAUAUCUGCAUGCAGUAGAUGCCCAUCCUUGCUAUGGCUUUUUUAACCCCUCCCCCAUUGUAGCCUUGUUUCAGCGCAUGAUAGGAAAGUGAAUGCAUACACCAAGAGGCAGUGAGCUGUUUUUCAAAGAUGCCUUUCAGUGUGAGUGUACUGGAUGUAAGCCCUUUUGAUUUCAAUGAGACUUAAUUUCAAGUAAGUGUACUUAGGAUUGCAGGCUUUCUACUAUUUUGUCUGUCACUGUAAAUCAAAAUAAGUGACUAAUCCCCAGAUGAUGCCAGAUCCAUGCAUGGAUCGGGUUGCAAGUUAAUCUUCAUGGCACUGUUUAUGGUAGCAGUGGUGAGACACCUCUUUUAAAAAGACUAUGAAAAGUGCUUCUUGUACUUCUGUCUGUGCUACAGCACUAAUCUGAGAGGAUAUGUUCCAACCCUUCCUUUAAAAAAGGAAAUAGUGUGUGUGCAUGGGUAUUUCCCAUUGUUUCAGUAAAGCAUUGUGCCUUGCAUAUGCUAGGAAGUAGCUCCUGCACUUAUUGACUGUGGUAUUCCAGGAACAGGUUAAAACCGUCUAGAAUUUCAGAAGAAACUUCUUAAAAUAGGGGCUGUAUCCAACACUG
This is a long non-coding RNA of Rhineura floridana, 1952 nucleotides long. RefSeq lists it as uncharacterized. The record is from RefSeq and is a predicted model, not a curated record. NCBI's taxonomy places the organism in Eukaryota, Metazoa, Chordata, Lepidosauria, Squamata, Rhineuridae. The transcript has 3 exons.